CGUCUUCAUGGUGUACCUAUGUCCAUUAUCUCCGAUAGAGAUAGUAGGUUCACCUCAAGAUUCUGGCAAUCACUACAACAUUCCUUAGGAAAAAGGCUAGACAUGAUCACAGCCUACCAUCCACAGACCGACGGACAGAGUGAGAGGACCUGAGAACAUACAUUAGGGAAAUCGUACGUCUUCAUGGUGUACCUAUGUCCAUUAUCUCCGAUAGAGAUAGUAGGUUCACCUCAAGAUUCUGGCAAUCACUACAACAUUCCUUAGGAAAAAGGCUAGACAUGAUCACAGCCUACCAUCCACAGACCGACGGACAGAGUGAGAGGACCUUCCAAACACUGGAAGAUAUGUUGUGAGCCUGCGUGAUUGACUUUGGGAAGGCAUGGGAUACUCAUUUACCCC
This 399-nucleotide long non-coding RNA is filed under the name Lactuca sativa (garden lettuce). RNAcentral's name for it is "long non-coding RNA (LSAT_LNC008949)". The record is from RNAcentral. Lineage: Eukaryota; Viridiplantae; Streptophyta; Magnoliopsida; Asterales; Asteraceae.